GAUGAAGAACGUAGCGAAAUGCGAUAAGUAAUGUGAAUUGCAGAAUUCAGUGAAUCAUCGAAUCUUUGAACGCACAUUGCGCCCAUUAGUAUUCUAGUGGGCAUGCCUGUUCGAGCGUCAUUAAGUCCACUUAAGCCCUGCUUAGUGUUGGGAGACUGCUCCAGCGGUGCUACCCUGUAGCUACCCUGCAGCUCCUCCAAGACAGCGGCGGAGUUGUGGUAUCCUCUGAGCUUAGUAACUUGUUCUAGCUUUCGAGUACACCACUUCCCCUGCCGUAAAACCCUUAAUUUUUAAUGGUUGACCUCGGAUCAGGUAGGAAUACCCGCUGAAAUUAAGCAUAUCAAUAAGCGGAGGA
RNAcentral lists this unclassified non-coding RNA (355 nucleotides) under soil metagenome. Its description in RNAcentral is "partial contains 5.8S ribosomal RNA, internal transcribed spacer 2, and large subunit ribosomal RNA". The stretch from base 1 to 120 matches the Rfam family "5.8S ribosomal RNA", at positions 35 to 154 of the family's 154-position model. The record is from RNAcentral.